Molecule: long non-coding RNA, 680 nt
Filed under: Oryza brachyantha (malo sina)
Lineage: Eukaryota; Viridiplantae; Streptophyta; Magnoliopsida; Poales; Poaceae
Description: long non-coding RNA (OBRA_LNC001663)
Source: RNAcentral
GCCGCCAAUCGGUCAGAGGUCUCUGACAGUUUCAUAUACCUUGUUCUCUUCUUUAGCUUCUCUUCCUCCUUGCGAGCUCCUCCUUUACCUCCUCCCAUUUCGUUUCUUUUGUCUCCUUUCUUUCGUCUCCUUCUAUUUUGGAUUUGACUUUAACUAGGGAGAUAUCGACUACGGUCAAACUCUGCACAUUUGACAUGGGGGCUUGUCAACCUCCUAGUAUUUGAUAGGUCUCAUGUUACCCAUCCCUAAUAUUGAACACACAGUGUAUUUAUCUACCAACUCACAAUAGGGUUGUGUUCUUCUCCCGUCUUGAUUCUCUCAUUUUUUAUGUGCGCUUUUUGGACUAUUAAACGGUGCGUCUUUUAUAAAAAUUUUAUAUAGAAAAAUUGCUUUAAAAAUUAUAUUAAUCUAUUUUAUAUUUUUUAUAAAUAAUAAUAAUUAAUUAAUCAUGUACAAAUCUAUAAUGUUUUCGACGUCGGUUAUAUAUCCAACCCCCUACGCAGGUCGGGGUGUCACCCCUCCUUAGGGCGUGUGCGACAGGUACCUAUCAAUCCUAGCUAUUCGACAGGCACCAUAUCAAAUUCCUAUUCUUAUUUUUGCAAUUUCUCAUGAAAAUAAUAUUAUUUAAAAAUUACACAGUGUGUUCUUGGCUAGAUCCAAUAAUCGUUGCGAAAAAAUAU